RNAcentral lists this ribosomal RNA (850 nucleotides) under uncultured bacterium. RNAcentral's name for it is "bacterial SSU rRNA". It matches the Rfam family "Bacterial small subunit ribosomal RNA", at positions 61 to 895 of the family's 1533-position model. The record is from RNAcentral.
GUCGAGGGGCAGCGGGGGAUGCGUUCGCGCAUUCUGCCGGCGACCGGCGCUCGGGUGAGUAACACGUAUGCAACCUGCCCCGUCCAGGGGGAUAAUCGGCGGAAACGCCGUCUAAUACCGCGUAUAUCGGUACCGGGCAUCCGGGAUUGAAGAAAGGGCCUUAGGGUCCGGGACGGGAUGGGCAUGCGGCGCAUUAGGAAGUUGGCGGUGUAACGGACCACCAAUCCGUCGAUGCGUAGGGGUUCUGAGAGGAAGGCCCCCCACACUGGUACUGAGACACGGACCAGACUCCUACGGGAGGCAGCAGUGAGGAAUAUUGGUCAAUGGGCGGGAGCCUGAACCAGCCAAGUCGCGUGAGGGAAGAAGGUACUGAGUAUUGUAAACCUCUUUUGCCAGGGGACAAACGGCGGCACGCGUGCCGUCCUGAGGGUACCCGGAGAAAAAGCAUCGGCUAACUCCGUGCCAGCAGCCGCGGUAAUACGGAGGAUGCGAGCGUUAUCCGGAUUUAUUGGGUUUAAAGGGUGCGUAGGCGGGAUGCCAAGUCAGCGGUCAAAUACGGGGGCUCAACCUGCGUCCGCCGUUGAAACUGGCGUUCUUGAGUGGGCGAGAAGUACGCGGAAUGCGUGGUGUAGCGGUGAAAUGCAUAGACAUCACGCAGAACCCCGAUUGCGAAGGCAGCGUACCGGCGCCCGACUGACGCUGAAGCACGAAAGCGUGGGUAUCGAACAGGAUUAGAUACCCUGGUAGUCCAUGCAGUAAACGAUGAACACUAAUUGUCCGGCGGGGUUUGCCGCUGGGUGAUACAGCGAAAGCGUUAAGUGUUCCACCUGGGGAGUACGCCGGCAACGGU